This 262-nucleotide long non-coding RNA is filed under the name Lathyrus oleraceus (garden pea). RNAcentral's name for it is "Pisum sativum (pea) long non-coding RNA (PSAT_LNC040141)". The record is from RNAcentral. Lineage: Eukaryota; Viridiplantae; Streptophyta; Magnoliopsida; Fabales; Fabaceae.
GAUGAGUCUUUUAUUCUAGCCUCUCAAAGCUUAGACAAGUGUUCUAUGUCAAUGAUCCGAAAAGUACGAAAUGGUCUAUAGUUCUUUUUCCCAACAAAGUAAUUGAUGAAAACACUGGAGAUCAAGGUGAUAUUGAUGUUGAGAUUGAAUCGUUUACCAAAAAAUGAUCAAGAUGAGAAUAUUAUAUCAAAUGAUUCAUAUAUUAGAAAUGAUCAUAAUGAGGGUAUUUGGAUCAAUCCAACCGUCCGUGUUGUUAAGAGAC